RNAcentral lists this ribosomal RNA (253 nucleotides) under uncultured bacterium. RNAcentral's name for it is "partial 16S ribosomal RNA". It matches the Rfam family "Bacterial small subunit ribosomal RNA", at positions 524 to 776 of the family's 1533-position model. The record is from RNAcentral.
UACGUAGGGUGCGAGCGUUAAUCGGAAUUACUGGGCGUAAAGCGUGCGCAGGCGGCGCGUUAAGACAGGUGUGAAAGCCCCGAGCUUAACUUGGGAAUUGCGCUUGUGACUGGCGUGCUGGAGUGUGGCAGAGGGAGGUGGAAUUCCACGUGUAGCAGUGAAAUGCGUAGAGAUGUGGAGGAACACCGAUGGCGAAGGCAGCUUCCUGGGCCAGCACUGACGCUCAUGCACGAGAGCGUGGGGAGCAAACAGG